RNAcentral lists this ribosomal RNA (497 nucleotides) under uncultured bacterium. Its description in RNAcentral is "partial 16S ribosomal RNA". It matches the Rfam family "Bacterial small subunit ribosomal RNA", at positions 28 to 507 of the family's 1533-position model. The record is from RNAcentral.
GAUGAACGCUGGCGGCGUGCCUAAUACAUGCAAGUCGAGCGAACAGACGAGGAGCUUGCUCCUCUGACGUUAGCGGCGGACGGGUGAGUAACACGUGGAUAACCUACCUAUAAGACUGGGAUAACUUCGGGAAACCGGAGCUAAUACCGGAUAAUAUAUUGAACCGCAUGGUUCAAUAGUGAAAGACGGUUUUGCUGUCACUUAUAGAUGGAUCCGCGCCGCAUUAGCUAGUUGGUAAGGUAACGGCUUACCAAGGCAACGAUGCGUAGCCGACCUGAGAGGGUGAUCGGCCACACUGGAACUGAGACACGGUCCAGACUCCUACGGGAGGAAGCAGUAGGGAAUCUUCCGCAAAGGGCGAAAGCCUGACGGAGCAAAGCCGCGUGAGUGAUGAAGGUCUUCGGAUCGUAAAACUCUGUUAUUAGGGAAGAACAAAUGUGUAAGUAACUAUGAACGUCUUGACGGUACCUAAUCAGAAAGCCACGGCUAACUACGUG